This 95-nucleotide microRNA precursor is filed under the name Nannospalax galili (Upper Galilee mountains blind mole rat). Its description in RNAcentral is "miRNA (ENSNGAG00000008866.1)". Lineage: Eukaryota; Metazoa; Chordata; Mammalia; Rodentia; Spalacidae. The record is from RNAcentral.
AUAUGCAAUGGAACAAAGUAGGUGCUCAGUAAGUGUCUGUGGAGCGUGCAUCGGCAGCUGACCCCGACUGACAAAAAGCAAGCUGCUUGUCACUG